Dromaius novaehollandiae (emu) is the source of this 306-nucleotide long non-coding RNA. RefSeq lists it as uncharacterized. Lineage: Eukaryota; Metazoa; Chordata; Aves; Casuariiformes; Dromaiidae. The record is from RefSeq and is a predicted model, not a curated record. The transcript has 3 exons.
UUUAACAUGUAGUCGUUUCCAUUCGUUUUUGUAAUUGAGCAGUUUUUACUUUGAACUCUAUUCCAGUUGGGGAAAAAUGAAGAAAAGCUGUUGUGGUAAUGUGAUCUAUUGAAAGAGGAAUUUAAUCACCUUCAAAAGUAAAGAGAAUCUUACAGAAAAGAAUGCCUCAAACACGUGCUGCCUAACAUCAGGAUAAAUGCCUUUAAACAAAGUGCAAGUGUAUGAUGGAAGAUGGCCAGGCAACUCGGUGAGGAACGUAUUUGGAAGUGAAGGUCAACGUGAUGGAGGAAGCAUGGCAUGCUGAGU